This 90-nucleotide transfer RNA is filed under the name Verrucomicrobia bacterium ADurb.Bin006. Its description in RNAcentral is "tRNA-Ser". It matches the Rfam family "tRNA". From Rfam's summary of the family: Transfer RNA (tRNA) molecules are approximately 80 nucleotides in length. Their secondary structure includes four short double-helical elements and three loops (D, anti-codon, and T loops). Further hydrogen bonds mediate the characteristic L-shaped molecular structure. tRNAs have two regions of fundamental functional importance: the anti-codon, which is responsible for specific mRNA codon recognition, and the 3' end, to which the tRNAs corresponding amino acid is attached (by aminoacyl-tRNA synthetases). tRNAs cope with the degeneracy of the genetic code in two manners: having more than one tRNA (with a specific anti-codon) for a particular amino acid; and 'wobble' base-pairing, i.e. permitting non-standard base-pairing at the 3rd anti-codon position. Lineage: Bacteria; Pseudomonadati; Verrucomicrobiota. The record is from RNAcentral. RNAcentral also lists the same sequence under 1 other name.
GGAGGGGUGGCAGAGUGGUUGAAUGCGGCGGUCUUGAAAACCGUUAGGGCGGUGACGCUCUCGGGGGUUCAAAUCCCCCCCCCUCCGCCA